This 3034-nucleotide long non-coding RNA is filed under the name Oncorhynchus mykiss (rainbow trout). Its description in RNAcentral is "lncRNA (ENSOMYG00000066881.1)". The record is from RNAcentral. Lineage: Eukaryota; Metazoa; Chordata; Actinopteri; Salmoniformes; Salmonidae.
UUGCUCGAAAAUUACGCAAUGAUGUAUUUCAUCGAAAUAGACGUGAACAUGCCUGCGUGCGCGCAACUAAUGGAGUAACCCAUGCAUUCGUCAAAUUAUUGACAUGCUUGUCAACUUGCGCGCACUGAUUUUUUCCCUUCACAUUCCAAAUGGUAUAGCCUAUAGAAAGUGAGUCCCUGAAUCGAUGUGCACCACAUCUCAACUCCCAUUCGUUCGAGGAGGAAACGCUAGAACUGGUGAGAAAUAUUGGCGUGGCAUCUAAACCCAGGUUUUAUUUUCGUGUCACGUUGAACCCUAUUUAGCAACAUCCCAUAGAAGUCAUGGAAGGAGUCAGCAGCAACAGGAACAUGUCAUACAGUCGAUGGAGUUAUGACAGGACCUGGAGGCAAAGGUCCAGCUGGCUUGGUACCACCCGGCUGGCAGACGGUGCAUUGCCAUUACCGGGGAUCUCCGUGACCUUCACAGGUGUCCGGUUACACUCCACUGAUGCAGCAGCAGCCCAUACCACUCACACACCUGCUCUGGGCAGGCUGAUCCUCCUUCACCCUGGCCUGCAGUAUUACCCAUAGGGGACUGGGAGAAGGGACAGUGAGACCCAAACUGGGACAGAACCUACCGCUGGGCUGGAACCCCAAACACACACGUCUGUUUAUCUCAGGCAGCACACAGUGUGAACACCCAGGGAGGGAGAUGGGGGGGGGGGGGGGGGAUUCUAUUCAUAUGAAUAGAAGGGAGGUUGUGCAUGUGAGCACAACCCCAGCCUAGUUCUAUCUAGGGAAGAGGGAGAUAGGAAGGAUGUUAUUAGUGUUACCAUUGCAUUGAUCUGUGUUGCAGAGUAAAAAUAAGUCUAUAAAAAGCAAUAGCCAUCCAUCACCAUUGGGUGGGAUUGACUGACCAAGCUGAUCCUUCAUUGUUGAAACGGUUGCUUAGCUUCUACAUGACCCCUCCAUUCAAAAAUAGACAAACCGAUUUGAGCUUUUCCUAGUGUGCUCUUUUAUCCCAUGUGGUUGAAAACACCAUUGAUUCUGAUGGAUUAAUGGCUCCAUGAAACAGACUACAGACCAUAGUAUAUUUUGUGGCCAUUGUGUAGUGGUGGGAAGCAAUAAUGCCAGCCUUGACAUUAGAAUUUUUUUUUUUUUUUACCUUCCACUUUGUUAUUGACUUGUUUAUUGUUUACUCCAUGUGUAACUCUGUGUUGUUAUCUGUUCACACUGCUAUGCUUUAUCUUGGCCAGGUCGCAGUUGUAAAUGAGAACUUGUUCUCAACUAGCCUACCUGGCUAAAUAAAGGUGAAAUAAAUAAAAUAUGUUUUAUUUAUUUAACUGGGCAAGUCAGUUAAGAACACAUUCUUAUUUUCAAUGACAGCUUAGGAACGGUGGGUUAACUGCCUUGUUCAGGGGCAGAACAACAGAUUUUUACAGUGUCAGCUCAGGGAUUCGAUCUUGCAACCUUCCGGUUACUAGUUCAAUGCUCUAACCACCCGCCUUGCAUUGCACUCCACGAGGAGCCUGCAUGGCAGGCUGACUACCUGUUACGCGAGUGCAGCAAGAAGCCAAGGUAAGUUGCUAGCUAGCGUUAAACGUAUCUUAUAAAAAACAAUCAUAACAUAAUCACUAGUUAACUACACAUGGUUGAGGAUAUUACUAGUUUAUCUAGCUUGUCCUGCAUUGCAUAUAAUCGAUGCGGUGCCUGUUAAUUUCUCAUCGAAUCACAGCUUACUUCUCCAAACGGGUGAUGAUUUAUCAAGCAAAUUCACAAAAAAAAGCACUGUUGUUGCUUCUUUUAAAAUCAAUACACACAUGACUUUCUUUUAACUAGGGAAAUUGUGUCACUCCUCUUGCGUUCCGUGCAAGCAGUCAGGGUAUAUGCAGCAGUUUGGGCCGCCUGGCUCUUUGCGAACUGUGUGAAGACCAUUUAUUCCUUACAAAGACCAUAAUUAAUUUGCCAGAAUUGUACAUAAUUAUGACAUAACAUUGAAGGUUGUACAAUGUAACAGCAGUAUUUACUUAGGGAUGCCACCCGUUAGAUAAAAUAAUGAACGGUUCUGUAUUUAACUGAAAGAAUAAACGUUGUGUUUUCUAAAUUAUAGUUUCCGGAUUUGACCAUAUUAAUGACCUAAGGCUCAUAUUUCUGUGUGUUAUUAUGUUAUAAUUAAGUCUAUGAUUUGAUAUUUGAUAGAGCAGUCUGACUGAGCGGUGGUAGGCAGCAGCAGGCUCAUAAGCAUUCGUUCAAACAGCACUUUCGUGUGUUUGCCAGCAGCUCUUCGUUGUGCUUCAAGCCUAUCAACUCCGAGAUUAGGCUGGUGUAACCGAUGUGAAAUGGCUAGCUAGUUAGCGGGGUGCGCGCUAAUAUCGUUUCAAUCGGUGACGGCACUCGCUCUGAGACCUUGAAGUAGUUGUUCCCCUUGCUCUGCAAGGGCUGCGGCAUUUGCGGAGCAAUGGAUAACGAUUCUUCGAGGGUGGCUGUUUUCGAUGUGAUCCUGGUUCGAGCCCAGGUAGGGGCGAGGAGAGGGACGGAAACUAUACUGUUACACUGGCAAUACUAAAGUGCCUAUAAGAACAUCCAAUUGUCAAAGGUAUAUGAAAUGCAAAUGGUAUAGAGAGAAAUAGUCCUAUAAUUCCUAUAAUAACUACAACCUAAAACUUCUUACCUGGGAAUAUUGAAGACUCAUGUUAAAAGGAACCACCAGCUUUCAUAUGUUCUCAUGUUCUGAGCAAUGAACUUAAACAUUAGCUUUUUUACAUGGCACAUAUUGCAUUUUUACUUUCUUCUCCAACACUUUUGCAUUAUUUAAACCAAAUUGAACAUGUUUCAUUAUUUAUUUGAGGCUAAAUUGAUUUGAUUGAUGUAUUAAUAACUUCUUAGUGUCACACCCUGACCAUAGUUUGCUUUGUAUGUUUCUAUGUUUUGUUUGGUCAGGGUGUGAUCUGAGUGGGCAUUCUAUGUUGGAUGUCUUGUUUUUCUGUUUCUGUGUUUGGGCCUGAUAUGGUUCUCAAUCAGAGGCAGGUGUUAGUCAUAUUUAGGUAGCCUGUUUG